UGCUACCUGUUGGUCUUAGAGGAACUGGA
RNAcentral lists this non-coding RNA (29 nucleotides) under Mus musculus (house mouse). The record is from RNAcentral. Lineage: Eukaryota; Metazoa; Chordata; Mammalia; Rodentia; Muridae.